GAUGAGAACGUAGCAAAAUGCGAUAAGUAAUGUGAAUUGCAGAAUUCAGUGAAUCAUCGAAUCUUUGAACGCACAUUGCGCCCGCUGGUAUUCCGGCGGGCAUGCCUGUUCGAGCGUCAUUUCAACCCUCAAGCCCCCGGGUUUGGUGUUGGGGAUCGGCUCUGCCCUUCUGGGCGGUGCCGCCCCCGAAAUACAUUGGCGGUCUCGCUGCAGCCUCCAUUGCGUAGUAGCUAACACCUCGCAACUGGAACGCGGCGCGGCCAUGCCGUAAAACCCCAACUUCUGAAUGUUGACCUCGGAUCAGGUAGGAAUACCCGCUGAACUUAAGCAUAUCAAUAAGCGGAGGA
This 347-nucleotide unclassified non-coding RNA is filed under the name soil metagenome. RNAcentral's name for it is "partial contains 5.8S ribosomal RNA, internal transcribed spacer 2, and large subunit ribosomal RNA". The stretch from base 5 to 119 matches the Rfam family "5.8S ribosomal RNA", at positions 40 to 154 of the family's 154-position model. The record is from RNAcentral.